GACAUUUGGUAGAGACUGUUGAAGCCACCUGGUCCCAGCAGACCCCUGAAGGCGGCCACAUUUGCUGGUGCUGGGGCAAGGUCGUUGAGGGUGAAGCCUGGUGCCAGAUGUGU
This is a ribosomal RNA of Panthera pardus (leopard), 113 nucleotides long. NCBI's taxonomy places the organism in Eukaryota, Metazoa, Chordata, Mammalia, Carnivora, Felidae. The record is from Ensembl.